Molecule: ribosomal RNA, 221 nt
Filed under: uncultured Gardnerella sp.
Lineage: Bacteria; Bacillati; Actinomycetota; Actinomycetes; Bifidobacteriales; Bifidobacteriaceae
Description: partial 16S ribosomal RNA
Rfam family: Bacterial small subunit ribosomal RNA
Source: RNAcentral
CUGCUCCAGAAUAGCUCUUGGAAACGGGUGGUAAUGCUGGAUGCUCCAACUUGACGCAUGUCUUGUUGGGAAAGUGUUAGUGGCAUGGGAUGGGGUCGCGUCCUAUCAGCUUGUAGGCGGGGUAAUGGCCCACCUAGGCUUCGACGGGUAGCCGGCCUGAGAGGGCGGACGGCCACAUUGGGACUGAGAUACGGCCCAGACUCCUACGGGAGGCAGCAGAC